This 1715-nucleotide long non-coding RNA is filed under the name Podarcis lilfordi (Lilford's wall lizard). The stretch from base 1324 to 1410 matches the Rfam family "let-7 microRNA precursor family". Lineage: Eukaryota; Metazoa; Chordata; Lepidosauria; Squamata; Lacertidae. The record is from RNAcentral.
CUCCAUGCCCUGUGCAUAGAAUGCAGGAUAUUAACCCAUGUUAGUCAUACAUACAUACAUACUUUAAGUUAAAUGUCAGGUUAUAAAUAAUAAAGAUUCACUACCUGGAUUACUACCAACAAUAAAAGCUAAAGUAUGAUUGUUAUAAAUGUGGAAUUUGUAGAAUAUUCCUAAAAGAUUGUAUUGUGUCUAAACUAGUAAUGCACUGAUUAGCAACACCAUUAAUUUUUCCUCCCUCUAGAGAUCUUUUUUGUCUUGCAGGUUACUAUAAUUCAACCCAGGGAUUUGUUGGACCUCAUCUGCAUCAGAGUGAGACUGUCCUUUGGGGUGAGGUAGUAGGUUGUAUAGUUUUAGGGUUAUACCCUGCCUGUCAGAUAACUAUACAAUCUACUGUCUUUCCUGAAGUGGCUGUGAUAGCGGCACAGGACGUUCCAUCACCGUAUCAGGAAACAACAUCUGUUACUGAUGCAUACGAAUGUAUGGGACAGGAGAGCGGAACCUUAAAGUAUUUGAAUCAGCCCAUCCAUUGACCUCGUUGAGCCAAGGACAUGAUUCAAGGGCCUAACACACCAACCAAAUAAUGUCCUCUUACUGAGUUGUACUUGAUAAGGGUAGCCUCUGUGUCUAGGUGUACACAUUUUGACUAACCAAACAGUAUGGUCUUCUUUAAAAUGUUUUGCAAAAAAAAUAACUCUUGUGGAAUAGAGCAUCUUUCUUUAGUACAGUAGUUCCAUAGGAAGUUUGCACAGAUCACAAUAUCCUCCAAAUGUAAAUUACAGCACUACUUGGCCACUACAGGUUUCUAGUUGAGACAGGAAUAGACCCAUUUGGCAGGUGGCAGUGAAGAAGAGGAGAGGGCCCAUUUGGUUAUCAGAGGGUGCUGCGAUGUGGCAGCAGAGGUAAAGUAUAGACCAAGACCACAUGGUAGGAAAAUCCCACACAAUAGACCUGGAGUGGUGACUCAUGAGUGGAAGCAGAAGGCAUUGCAAGGCUGCUGCUAAUCCUGAGGAGUGACUAGGAGGUGGGGAAAGGGCUGGUGGACAUAGGAAGGAGAGCAUGAGGCCAGUGCCGUACUGCAACACCUGGAGAAUGGCCAGCAGCACUAAAUACAGGUAUAGCCUAGUGGAAUGAGCACCAUCAUCCCCUCUUUGGCUCUGUUAGAUUCCUUGAACAGCAACCCCUGGUUGUCACCCAGUGGAAAUGGCAGCCUUGCCUUUCACUCCAAAUACAUUUAUGCAUCACCACAUGCAAGACUCUCUCUCUUAAUUGUGGAAGCAAAAGCCAAGAAGUAGCUGUGUUCUAUCAACGCCACCCAGUGCUUUGGCAGGAUGAGGUAGUAGGUUGUGUGGUUUCAGGGUAGUGAUUUUGCCCCAAUCAGGAGAUAACUAUACAACCUACUGCCUUCCCUGAGGAGCAGCUUUGCAGCUUGCCCAGAAAACCCAUUUCACUUUCAAGUAGACAAUCCAUGCAACAGUCCUCCCAAAGUAUCUUGAGAACUGUAUGAUUAUGCUGGGAAUUCUGUGUUGGAGAACCACUACCCCCACCUAAAAAUGCAGUCCCCAAGGACAAUAUGACUUUUAAGCCAGCUUCAAUCUAUGAAAUGGGACAGUAUGAAUUAGAGAAGAUGUUAUGGUCAUCUCCAGAGUAAACCUAUAUGUGAAAAUAGUAUUAUUUGGGAUUUUGUAUUCAGAGUUUAUAUAAUUUUAUGCCUGUCA